AUUAAAGCAUGUUUUAUAUCGUGCUGGAGUUUUCUUUUUAAAUAACUCAUGAACAGAAAACAGCAGCUGGAUUAGAUGAUGUGGUUAUUGGGCUAGUCUUUGAAGGGAGGUGGUAGGUACAUUCUUUCUAUAUUUAAACGAUCUCAUUGUAGCAUGCAUCGCAAGCCUAACAUUGUUUAUGGAAUUGGAUGGUAAAUGAGUAAGAGAUAGUCAUUGUUUGCUGUGCAUAAAGAUGGCGGCUAUUUGUUAGCUUAGGUGCCUCUCUCUACUAGACGAUGCUAAAUAGUCAUCUACAAGAGACAUGCCUGGUUUGUGUUUGGUUUUUUGGUUUUCAGAUACGGUGAAACAAGCAGCGGUGUUACAUUCAAUGUCUGACUGGUCAAAUGAGAGAGAACAGAAUAUGAUAAACAGUGGAAUAGACUGCAGAAAGGGACUGAAAAAAAUCUUGUACACUGAAACAGGCUUAGUACUUCUUUCUCUGAUUGGAAAUCUGUAUGGUCUGCUUGAUAUUCACAGGAAGGCUGGAGCCAGAUUCACUGAUUGAAGAUUUAUGUUUUCCAAUUUAUAAACUGUUUACUGAAGGUACAAUGGGCUUUUUACAGAGAAUACGUCAGGCUAGUUGAGACAUUGGUUCACAGAAGAUAGCUACUGCCUGUCAGAAUGGUGAAAUGGUCAGUGAGCUUUGCUUUUUACCAAAAGUCUGAAUCCCAAUUUCAAUUGAAAAAGUUAAAUUGGAAAUGCAGAUUCCUUAUCAUUCUUUCACUGAAUUUAAUCUUUAAGACUAACACAUAGGGAAGAUUAGAAAUUUUAAUGGAUUACUGGGAAUAAAUUCUAAACAACAGACAUUUAUUAUAAUUGAUAAAAACUAAUAUUUUAUGAGGGAAUUAGAAUAUCCCUUGAGUACUGUUUAUACACAUUGAGGGAAGGAAAAAUGAUUUACUUUUCAGUUGAAAAUCAUUUGGGGAUUGAAACCACCAUUGCACAUUUGUAACUGAGACAGUGAAAGAGAUCUGACUUAACCCACUCUAUCUUGCUUCUAAUCUCCAAGUUGUCCUUGUUCAUUCAUGGGCAUAGGCUGAACUAACUUUGGGAGGAACUUAGUUUAUACUUUAAAACAAAGACGAUAACAGCCCUUUCCCCAAACAACCUCCUUCUUGCCUGGGGACUAGACAGCCUUUGUAGGACUAACAAAUUAGCCACAAGAUUAGAAAUUGUGGUUUAGGAGUCAUACAGGUGGAGGCUACAAGAUUCUGACCCUUCCUAAACUUCUCCUAAGAUCAGUGCUUGAGAUAUUUUGCAGACCCUGCACUUGAUGAAUCUGCUAUCACCACCAAGAUCAAUAAACUGGCUCAGCUGGUCUUGUGGGCCCUACCCAGGCACUGACUCAGCACAAGAAGAUAGCUUCAAGUCCCAUCUCUGACCUAACCAAUCAGUACUCCCAGCUCAGUGGCUUUCCCCAACCCACCAAGUUGUCCUUAAAAACUCUGAUCCCUGAAUGUUCAGGGAGACGGAUUUGAGUAAUAGUAAAACACCAGUUUCCCCCACAGCUGGCUC
Molecule: long non-coding RNA, 1554 nt
Organism: Macaca mulatta (Rhesus monkey)
Lineage: Eukaryota; Metazoa; Chordata; Mammalia; Primates; Cercopithecidae
Source: Ensembl